CCCCGCCCCCGCCGCGGCCUCGCCCCUCCCGCGAGAUCAGUGCUCCCGGCCAGUGCUUCUGGAUGGAUCUUCGUCGCCAUCCUCGGAUUGCUCGCCAUCCUCAAGCUUGAAAACCCGCUUAAAACCAUUUGGGGGUCAUCUUUAAGUGCUGAGUUGGACAUGGCUGGAGGCUGUGGCUGGCCUUCUCCCUGACGUCUUGGUGGAUACAUGACGCUUGAUUCUAUGAAAGCAACCCCUUCAGCCAACUCCUGUCUUCCUGGGAAAGCCCUUGGAAGAAACAGCUGAAGAAGUUGAAGCUGAAGAGUUUGAAUGCCUUGCCUGCGACCAUUCCACAGUAUCAGAAGGAACCUUGUGGUUGCAAGUGACAGAGGAUUCAACCCAAACUGAGUUAGCGAAACCAGUCUCAAAUGAAUCUGACUUGAAAAUUCCAAAGGCUCUAUGGAACAUUUCCCGACUUGCCCUAGCAGAGCUAAUAUCCUUCUGGACUCCAAAAGAACAUGGGCGUAUCUCUGUACCUACACCUCCUGUUUUGAGAUUAUUUGUGGACGAGUCCAUGUCCCUCAUUACACUAUGAACCUGGAAGGGAAAUGAAUCAGAAUGUAUUCAUCCUUCUAUCCCUGCCUCAUCGCUGGAACAUGCUCAGCUGAGAGAACACAUCCCUGCUUAGCUGGAGGAAAGCCAGAGAACAUUUGAGAAGAGGCUGGAACUUUCAUUUUGCAGCCACACAAGAUUAUUUAUGCAAACAGCAGCCUGGUCCUGCUUGUACAGAGCCUGGUCCCCUUGGAAGCAGUCAUGUGACCUCAGCCCAUUACUUGAGAGCAUCCCUUUAUCUCCUAGCCCAGAACAGGGCAGGGUUGGGGCAGACAGCUGCGGCUCACGGGCCAGUCCAGCCUCUCCCGGAUCUGCUGCUCGGAGCUCGCCUUCCAGGCUGAAAGGCAAAGCAGCUGGGGCAUGUUCGAGU
This 961-nucleotide long non-coding RNA is filed under the name Equus asinus (donkey). RNAcentral describes it as "lncRNA (ENSEASG00005030468.1)". Lineage: Eukaryota; Metazoa; Chordata; Mammalia; Perissodactyla; Equidae. The record is from RNAcentral.